AGUCCAGAGCCGUCGGCUGUACAAGUUUGCAGAUGGCUGUGUGCCUCUUACUCCUGGGAUUCCCGACUCGACUCCAACGGCAGUAGGAGUGAUGCAACUUCAGUAGACCUGUAGAGACUGUCCAGUUUGGCUGAGCUUAUCCUCUGAAGCAGUACCGGAAAGGAGAGGGGGCAUCGAAAUUUCCCUGGCCAGACCUUCAGCCUUUGUACAUCAUGGUUCAUCUUUUUCUGUCAUCACAUCAAGUGGCAUGACUUCAGCAUGGAGCUGGAAGAUGUUCAUGUCCCCUAGGACAGCUGUAUAGCCUCGGUUUAAGGAACUCUUCUGGGAGGUGGAAGAUAUCAUUUUGGACCUUUUCAGAAUAAGGUGGGUAGAG
Molecule: long non-coding RNA, 373 nt
Filed under: Dromaius novaehollandiae (emu)
Lineage: Eukaryota; Metazoa; Chordata; Aves; Casuariiformes; Dromaiidae
Description: lncRNA (ENSDNVG00000000769.1)
Source: RNAcentral